This 469-nucleotide ribosomal RNA is filed under the name uncultured bacterium. Its description in RNAcentral is "bacterial SSU rRNA". It matches the Rfam family "Bacterial small subunit ribosomal RNA", at positions 43 to 507 of the family's 1533-position model. The record is from RNAcentral.
CAUGCCUUACACAUGCAAGUCGAACGGCAGCACGGGAGCAAUCCUGGUGGCGAGUGGCGAACGGGUGAGUAAUAUAUCGGAACGUGCCCAGUCGUGGGGGAUAACGUAGCGAAAGCUACGCUAAUACCGCAUACGAUCUACGGAUGAAAGCGGGGGAUCGCAAGACCUCGCGCGAUUGGAGCGGCCGAUAUCAGAUUAGGUAGUUGGUGAGGUAAAGGCUCACCAAGCCGACGAUCUGUAGCUGGUCUGAGAGGACGACCAGCCACACUGGGACUGAGACACGGCCCAGACUCCUACGGGAGGCAGCAGUGGGGAAUUUUGGACAAUGGGCGCAAGCCUGAUCCAGCAAUGCCGCGUGCAGGAUGAAGGCCUUCGGGUUGUAAACUGCUUUUGUACGGAACGAAACGGUGAGCUCUAAUACAGUUUGCUAAUGACGGUACCGUAAGAAUAAGCACCGGCUAACUACGUG